GAUUAUACCUCGUGGUGUCUUGUGAGUUUCAUUGCAUUCUGAGAGCUGAGAAUGUGAGGUAGAGUCAGGAGUCACCAGGUUAGUUAUAUUUGGUUGUAGAAUGGUUUCUAAAGUUUUAGGGUAUAAUAUCUCACUAAUGCAUAUAAAAUAAAGUUCUAGACUAAAAACGUCUAUUAAUAUUAAAUAAUGUUGGCAGUUUGGAUAUGUAAAUAUGUUACGCUAAUUCGUGAUAGGCUGUAAAGUUUUUAAUGCCUCAAUUGGAUUGCUAUUAUACAUAUUUUCACAUUGUGUUUCUUGUAUGGGUGUCGUGCGAAUGGUCUGUGCGCGCUGUGGUGGUGGCUGUUGAGAAUAUGAUGUACACUUCUGUGUGCUAGUGAUGGGUGCAUAGUGAUUCAUAUUAUCUUUGUUUUCACUUUAUUGUAUUAGCAUCUAGGCACAUGUCACGCAUCGAGCAGAUAGAUGUCUAGGAGUAGCUUCGUCUUAUAGACGGGGUAUUCUUCUUCUACCUCUUCCUGUGAUGUAAGGAAUAAACAGAUUCACACCC
Molecule: long non-coding RNA, 544 nt
Organism: Haliotis rubra (blacklip abalone)
Lineage: Eukaryota; Metazoa; Mollusca; Gastropoda; Lepetellida; Haliotidae
Exons: 2
Source: RefSeq, a predicted model, not a curated record